RNAcentral lists this ribosomal RNA (250 nucleotides) under uncultured bacterium. RNAcentral describes it as "partial 16S ribosomal RNA". It matches the Rfam family "Bacterial small subunit ribosomal RNA", at positions 524 to 773 of the family's 1533-position model. The record is from RNAcentral.
UACGUAUGGGGCUAGCGUUAUCCGGAUUCAUUGGGCGUAAAGAGCGCGUAGGCGGUUUGUUAAGUCGGAUGUGAAAACCGGGGGCUCAACCCGCGGCCUGCAUCCGAAACUGGCAGACUUGAGUCUGGUAGAGGAAAGUGGAAUUCCUAGUGUAGCGGUGAAAUGCGCAGAUAUUAGGAGGAACACCAGUGGCGAAGGCGGCUUUCUGGGCCACGACUGACGCUGAGGCGCGAAAGCUAGGGGAGCAAAC